GUAACUUCGGGAAAAGGUGCGCCCUGAUAGGUUGUAGCCCCUCGCGGGUGAAGGCUGAAAGGGUUGCAGUGAAAUGGUGGCUGCGACUGUUUAAUAAAAACACAGCACUCUGCAAACACGAAAGUGGACGUAUAGGGUGUGACGCCUGCCCGGUGCCGGAAGGUUAAGUGAUGGGGUGCAAGCUCUUGAUCGAAGCCCCGGUAAACGGCGGCCGUAACUAUAACGGUCCUAAGGUAGCGAAAUUCCUUGUCGGGUAAGUUCCGACCUGCACGAAUGGCGUAACGAUGGCCACACUGUCUCCUCCUGAGACUCAGCGAAGUUGAAGUGGUUGUGAAGAUGCAAUCUCCCCGCGGUUAGACGGAAAGACCCCAUGAACCUUUACUGUAGCUUUGCAUUGGACUUUGAACCGACUUGUGUAGGAUAGGUGGGAGGCUGUGAAACCGGGACGCUAGUCCGGGUGGAGCCAACCUUGAAAUACCACCCUGGUUUGUUUGAGGUUCUAACCACGGCCCGUGAAUCCGGGUCUGGGACCGUGCAUGGUAGGCAGUUUGACUGGGGCGGUCUCCUCCUAAAGGGUAACGGAGGAGUACGAAGGUACGCUAGGUACGGUCGGAAAUCGUGCUAAUAGUGCAAUGGCAAAAGCGUGCUUGACUGCGAGACCCACACGUCGAGCAGGUACGAAAGUAGGUCAUAGUGAUCCGGUGGUUCUGUAUGGAAGGGCCAUCGCUCAACGGAUAAAAGGUACUCUGGGGAUAACAGGCUAAUACCGCCCAAGAGUUCAUAUCGACGGCGGUGUUUGGCACCUCGAUGUCGGCUCAUCACAUCCUGGGGCUGUAGUCGGUCCCAAGGGUAUGGCUGUUCGCCAUUUAAAGUGGUACGUGAGCUGGGUUUAAAACGUCGUGAGACAGUUUGGUCCCUAUCUGCCGUGGGCGCUGGAAAUUUGAAGGGGGCUGCUCCUAGUACGAGAGGACCGGAGUGGACGAACCUCUGGUGUACCGGUUAUGACGCCAGUCGUAUCGCCGGGUAGCUAAGUUCGGAAGAGAUAAACGCUGAAAGCAUCUAAGCGUGAAACUCGCCUUAAGAUGAGAUUUCCCCGGGGACUCGAUCCCCCUGAAGGGUCGUGGUAGACCACCACGUUGAUAGGCUGGGUGUGGAAGCGCAGCAAUGCGUGCAGCUAACCAGUACUAAUUGCCCGUGAGGCUUGAUCCU
This 1209-nucleotide ribosomal RNA is filed under the name activated sludge metagenome. Its description in RNAcentral is "bacterial LSU rRNA". It matches the Rfam family "Bacterial large subunit ribosomal RNA", at positions 1730 to 2925 of the family's 2925-position model. The record is from RNAcentral.